AACGAACGCUGGCGGCAUGCCUAACACAUGCCAGUCGAACGAGACCUUCGGGUCUAGUGGCGCACGGGUGCGUAACGCGUGGGAACCUGCCCUUAGGUUCGGAAUAACUCCCCGAAAGGGGUGCUAAUACCGGAUAAUGUCUUCGGACCAAAGAUUUAUCGCCUUUGGAUGGGCCCGCGUUGGAUUAGCUAGUUGGUAGGGUAAAAGCCUACCAGGGCGACGAUCCAUAGCUGGUCUGAGAGGAUGAUCAGCCACACUGGGACUGAGACACGGCCCAGACUCCUACGGGAGGCAGCAGUGGGGAAUAUUGGACAAUGGGCGAAAGCCUGAUCCAGCAAUGCCGCGUGAGUGAUGAAGGCCUUAGGGUUGUAAAGCUCUUUUACCCGGGAUGAUAAUGACAGUACCGGGAGAAUAAGCUCCGGCUAACUCCGUG
Molecule: ribosomal RNA, 433 nt
Filed under: uncultured bacterium
Lineage: Bacteria
Description: partial 16S ribosomal RNA
Rfam family: Bacterial small subunit ribosomal RNA
Source: RNAcentral